GGAACCCCGAACCGAAAAGUGACUCGUGUCCUCCCCGUCUCCAUGCCGCGCACGCGCGUACCUGUUCUGCCAGCCCUGGAUCAGUGGCACUGUGGGUCUCCUCCAGCGUUCUCCUGUUAGAAAGGAAGAGCAGAGCGCAGACACUCCCACUCCACUCUGGACCGGCCCCCGGAUGUUACGAUGCAAUCCCAAUAUACACAUGAUCAUACCAACACAAAAAUGAUAGCCAACCACCCUGAACAAUAAUCUUCUGUAUUGGUCCCAAUGUGGGAAGAGUUGCACACUGGACAACUUCUUUAAGUUAUUGUGUGUCAAAGAAAAAGACAUCCCACCACCAAAGUGUAAGAAAAAGUCAGUAUCUGUGCAGCAUCAGCAUCAUGCCCAUAAAUGUUGAAUGACUAUAUUUCACUGCAUCUUGAGAUUAAAUGAAGCAAAAAUAAAAGGA
Molecule: long non-coding RNA, 445 nt
Organism: Pseudoliparis swirei
Lineage: Eukaryota; Metazoa; Chordata; Actinopteri; Perciformes; Liparidae
Exons: 4
Source: RefSeq, a predicted model, not a curated record